GACGAACGCUGGCGGCGUGCUUAACACAUGCAAGUCGAACGGAAAGGCCUCUUUCGGGGGGUACUCGAGUGGCGAACGGGUGAGUAACACGUGAGUAACCUGCCCUUGACUUUGGGAUAACUUCAGGAAACUGGGGCUAAUACCGGAUAGGAGCUCCUGCUGCAUGGUGGGGGUUGGAAAGUUUCGGCGGUUGGGGGUGGACUGGCGGCUUAUCAGCUUGUUGGUGGGGUAGUGGCUUACCAAGGCUUUGACGGGUAGCCGGCCUGAGAGGGUGACAGGCCACAUUGGGACUUAGAGACGGCCCAGACUCCGACGGGAGGCAGCAGUGGGGAAUAUUGCACAAGGGGUGGAGGCCUGAUGCAGCAGCGCCGUGUGCGGGAUGACGGCCUUCGGGUUGUAAACCGCUUUCGCUCAUGACGAAGCUUUGUGUGACGGUAGUGGGUAAAGAAGCACCGGCUAACUACGUG
RNAcentral lists this ribosomal RNA (467 nucleotides) under uncultured bacterium. Its description in RNAcentral is "partial 16S ribosomal RNA". It matches the Rfam family "Bacterial small subunit ribosomal RNA", at positions 28 to 507 of the family's 1533-position model. The record is from RNAcentral.